This 445-nucleotide ribosomal RNA is filed under the name uncultured bacterium. RNAcentral describes it as "SSU rRNA". It matches the Rfam family "Bacterial small subunit ribosomal RNA", at positions 26 to 518 of the family's 1533-position model. The record is from RNAcentral.
AGAGCGAACGCUGGCGGCAGGCCUAAUACAUGCAAGUCGAACGGAUCCUUCGGGAUUAGUGGCGGACGGGUGAGUAACACGUGGGAACGUGCCCUUUGGUUCGGAACAACUCAGGGAAACUUGAGCUAAUACCGGAUGUGCCCUUCGGGGGAAAGAUUUAUCGCCAUUGGAGCGGCCCGCGUCUGAUUAGCUAGUUGGUGGGGUAAAGGCCUACCAAGGCUACGAUCAGUAGCUGGUCUGAGAGGAUGAUCAGCCACACUGGGACUGAGACACGGCCCAGACUCCUACGGGAGGCAGCAGUAGGGAAUCUUGCGCAAUGGGCGAAAGCCUGACGCAGCCAUGCCGCGUGAAUGAUGAAGGUCUUAGGAUUGUAAAAUUCUUUCAGUGGGACGAUAAUGACGGUACCCACAGAAGAACGCCCGGCUAACUUCGUGCCAGCAGCCGC